Molecule: ribosomal RNA, 482 nt
Filed under: uncultured bacterium
Lineage: Bacteria
Description: partial 16S ribosomal RNA
Rfam family: Bacterial small subunit ribosomal RNA
Source: RNAcentral
AUUGAACGCUGGCGGCAUGCCUUACACAUGCAAGUCGAACGGUAACGGGCCUUCGGGUGCCGACGAGUGGCGAACGGGUGAGUAAUACAUCGGAACGUGCCCGAUCGUGGGGGAUAACGAGGCGAAAGCUUUGCUAAUACCGCAUACGAUCUACGGAUGAAAGCAGGGGACCGCAAGGCCUUGCGCGGACGGAGCGGCCGAUGGCAGAUUAGGUAGUUGGUGGGAUAAAAGCUUACCAAGCCGACGAUCUGUAGCUGGUCUGAGAGGAUGAUCAGCCACACUGGGACUGAGACACGGCCCAGACUCCUACGGGAGGCAGCAGUGGGGAAUGUUGGACAAUGGGCGCAAGCCUGAUCCAGCCAUGCCGCGUGCAGGAUGAAGGCCUUCGGGUUGUAAACUGCUUUUGUCCGGAACGAAAAGCCUUCUUUUAAUACAGGAGGGUCAUGACGGUACCGUAAGAAUAAGCACCGGCUAACUACGUG